Molecule: ribosomal RNA, 253 nt
Filed under: uncultured bacterium
Lineage: Bacteria
Description: partial 16S ribosomal RNA
Rfam family: Bacterial small subunit ribosomal RNA
Source: RNAcentral
UACGGGGGGGGCAAGCGUUGUUCGGAAUUACUGGGCGUAAAGGGCGCGUAGGCGGCCUUCUAAGUCGAACGUGAAAUCCCCGGGCUCAACCCGGGAACUGCGUCCGAGACUGAAAGGCUUGAAUCCGGGAGAGGGAUGUGGAAUUCCAGGUGUAGCGGUGAAAUGCGUAGAUAUCUGGAGGAACAUCGGUGGCGAAGGCGGCAUCCUGGACCGGUAUUGACGCUGAGGCGCGAAAGCGUGGGGAGCAAACAGG